AUUGAACGCUGGCGGCAGGCCUAACACAUGCAAGUCGAGCGGUAGAGAGGUGCUUGCAUCUCUUGAGAGCGGCGGACGGGUGAGUAAUGCCUAGGAAUCUGCCCUAGUGGUGGGGGAUAACGUUCGGAAACGGACGCUAAUACCGCAUACGUCCUACGGGAGAAAGCGGGGGAUCUUCGGACCUCGCGCCAUUAGAUGAGCCUAGGUCGGAUUAGCUAGUUGGUGAGGUAAUGGCUCACCAAGGCGACGAUCCGUAACUGGUCUGAGAGGAUGAUCAGUCACACUGGAACUGAGACACGGUCCAGACUCCUACGGGAGGCAGCAGUGGGGAAUAUUGGACAAUGGGCGAAAGCCUGAUCCAGCCAUGCCGCGUGUGUGAAGAAGGCCU
RNAcentral lists this ribosomal RNA (388 nucleotides) under uncultured bacterium. Its description in RNAcentral is "bacterial SSU rRNA". It matches the Rfam family "Bacterial small subunit ribosomal RNA", at positions 30 to 417 of the family's 1533-position model. The record is from RNAcentral.